Molecule: long non-coding RNA, 5611 nt
Filed under: Capsella rubella
Lineage: Eukaryota; Viridiplantae; Streptophyta; Magnoliopsida; Brassicales; Brassicaceae
Description: long non-coding RNA (CRUB_LNC004559)
Source: RNAcentral
UUAUAAAGAGUUAUAUGGUUUGAGUUUAUCAAAGUGCGAAUGUUUUUUUUUAAAGUGCGAAUGUUGUAAACGUCCACACCACCAUACGAUAUUCAAUUAUUUUGAAGUUUGAUGGAAAAAAAAAAAUAGAAAAAACAAGGACAACGUUUACUAUAAAUAACCCUAGCUAGUCAUAGUAGUUCUUCGUCUUUCCCUAUCACAGUUAAAAGGAAAUUAUCAUCCAACUCUCUUUUCUCUCUCAAGAAAAAUCAGAAACACACAAUGGCGACUUCGCAAGACUCAAACCCACAAAUCCCAGAAGAUGCUGAAGUCACGGCACCAACCCUAUCAUCACUAACACACGUCCCGACAAAUCUUGAAGAAAAGGCUGUUCCAGUCCCGUCGCCGAAGAUGGACAUGUUAUCGGAGACACCAAAGAAUCCUGGCGAUCGUCAAAUCUCACCGUCAGCCGAGACCCAGGAGUCGCUGAAGAUGAUGGAAGACGUGACUCGCAAGUCGUCUGAAAUUCACGGAAUGCUGCCGUCUGUGGACUCGUGGGGUAUGAUAGAGAAGACUGGUGAUACAGACUCGCAGUCGCAAGGAUCCAGCAACAAACUUCCAGUCUCAACCUUUCCAAGGCUCGUCUUGAAGAGAAUUCCAAACCCGUUGGUUCCAGUUAUCCAUGACGCUGAAGCUGAACAGCCACCCAAUGACCCAACGGAAAGGGCUCUGAACUCUAAGUUUAUAUGUGCUUGAGAAAUAUAAGAACAACCUUUCUUAUUGAUUUAGAAAACUACUCAAAAACUAAAUCUCUCUCAAGUCUUGUGAAACAUCUCUUCACAAGCUUAGUAUUUAUAGAACCAAGACAACACCUUAAUCCUAAUUAGAUUAGGAAAACAACACAAAGCCUUAUCUAAAUAACUUGCCCUUAUCUAGAUCAUGUUUGUGAAUCCCUUGACUUGCUCCCCAAGUCACUUGGAAUUAUCCAAUAUUCACCCCCGUAAUUCCAACACGAACUCCGGGACGCUUGAUCUCUUCAACUCCAAUUAGACUCCUCAUUUCCUUGAACUUGUAUCUCCCUAAAGGCUUGGUUAGUAUGUCCGCCUUCUGCUCUUCACCCGGUACAUGAUCCACUUCGAUUUGAUCAUUCUCCACACACUCACGAAUAAAAUGAUACUUUGCAAGUAUGUGCUUUGUCCUCCCAUGAAACACCGGAUUCUUUGUAAGCGCUAUGGCUGCUUUGUUGUCGAUCAAAAGCAUGACCUUCUCGCCUUCUAUGCUUAAUAUCUCUCCCAACAACUCCUUAAGCCAUAUAGCUUGCUUUGCUGCUUCUGUAGCGGCAAUAAACUCAGCCUCACACGAUGACAACGCCACGGUGGGCUGUUUUUGCGACGUCCAAGUGAUCGGUGAUGAACCGUAAUAGAACACAUGCCCCGAAGUACUUCUACCAUUGUCAAUGUCGAUAUUGUGACUACUAUCACUAUAUCCAAUGACUUUGCGUGACCCAUCUCUCUUGAAAAAUAAGCCAAAGUUAGUAGUUCCUUUUAAGUACCUUAAAACAUGCUUGAUAGCUUGUCCAUGAGACUCUCUCGGACUUUGCAUAUAACGACUUAGAACUUCAACUGCAAAUGACAAAUCCGGUCUUGUAUGAAUAAGAUAUCUUAGACACCCUAUGGUUCUCCUAUACUUCGUGGCAUCAACCUCCUUCUCAUGUUCUGCCUUUGACAAAUUUAAACCCGACUCCAUUGGUGCAUGAGUCAAGUUACACGCUUCCAUCUUAGCAUCAACUAGAAUUCCUUGAGCGUAUGCUUCUUGUUUGAUUCUAAUUCCAUCUGCUCCUUGAAUCACUUCUAUGCCGAGAUAGUACGUUAGCUUUCCAAGAUCCGACAUCUCAAACUUUGUCGACAUAUCAUUUUUGAAUCGUUUCAUGACCUUAAGAGAAGUACCGGUCACAAACAAAUCAUCAACGUAGAUAGCCACAAUCAAGAUGUCCUUAUCUUCAUUCUUACGAUAUACCGAGGGUUCCUUUAAGCACUUCUUAAAGUUCAUCUCCUUUAGGACUUGAUCAAGCUUAAUAUUCCAAGCUCUAGGAGCUUGACGUAGACCAUACAACUCCUUGUAAAGCCUAUAAACUCGAUCCUCUUUUCCUUUCUUCUUAAAACCUUCCGGUUGUAUUACGUAAACUAACUCCUUUAGUUCACCGUUUAAGAAAGCAGUCUUCACGUCUAGGUGAUGUAUUUCCCAACCUCUUGUUGCUGCAAGGGCUAUGAGAAGGCGUAUAGUUUCUAGUCGUGCUACCGGAGCAAACACUUCUUCGAAAUCUAUGCCUUGUUGCUGUACAUAGCCUUUUGCCACAAGUCUGGCCUUAUACUUGCUCACCGAUCCGUCCGCUUUCCUUUUAACCUUGUAAACCCAUCUUACUCCUAUAGGUUUAACGCCUUCUGGUUUGUUGACAAGCUCCCACGUCUUGUUCUUUUCAAUAGAAUCAAUCUCAGCCUUCAUUGCAUUAACCCACUCUUUAAUGUUUUCAGCUUCAAGAAAGUUCUCGGGUUCACCGUCUAUGGUAAGAAACAAUCUUCCACUUUCUUGUUCUGCAAGUAAAACAUAAUCGUUAAGAUAAUUUGGCUUAAUUAUCACACGACCUGAUCUUGUCACCAAAGGUUGAUUCCCAGCUUGUUGAUUCACGUCAUUAUUUUCUUCAUUUUGUAUGUUUUCUUUUUCCUCCUCCUCAUCUUGGUUGUCUUGGUUUAUAGCUUCUUGAUCUGGUUCUUGUUGGACAUUUUCGUGAUCACCCUCAUGAUCUUCUCCAUCUUCUAUAACACCAUCUUGAGGAAGCUUAAACAUACCCGGUUCUCCAUCGGAUUCCUUUGUGAUAGAUGACCAGUCCCAAGCUUUCUUCUCGUCAAAGACCACAUCUCUACUAACGAUUACCUUCUUUGUAACCGGAUCAUAGAGUCUAUAAGCUUUGGAACCCGGUUCUGUUCCAAGAUUGAUCACUUUCUUUGAUCUAUCAUCAAGCUUCUUGAUAUGAGGCCCAUUGAUCUUUGCAUAAGCAACACAUCCAAAAACCCUCAAAUGUUCGAUGUGAGGUUUCCGGCAUGUGAAGCUCUCGUAAGGAGUUUGACCAUUUAAAGCUUUUGUGGGCACACAGUUGAUGAGAUAGGUUGAAUGACGUACAGCUUCUCCCCACAUAUCAUUCGGAACCUUCAUCGCCUUCAUCAAGCUUCUUGUCAUCUCCAUCAAGGUACAGUUUCUUCUUUCAACCACACCAUUUUGCUGUGGCGUGUAUGGUGCGGUUAAGUGACGUUUGACUCCAUUCUCUUCACAAAACCGAUUGAACUCAGCCGAGGUAAACUCUCCCCCCCUAUCGGUUCGAAACGUCUUGAUGGCCAAACCGGUUUGUUUUUCAACAACACCUUUAAAACGCUUAAAUCGAUCAAACGCUUCACUCUUUUCUCGUAGUAACAUCGUCCACAUGUACCUAGAGAAAUCAUCAAUCAAGACAAAAACAUAACGAUUGUUAGCUGGUGUUGGUGGUGAAAUCGGACCACACAAAUCUCCAUGGAUCAACUCCAAUGCUUGUGAUGCACGAAAACUGGUUUUAGUCGGGAAAGAGCUUCUUGUUUGUUUCCCGGCUAAGCACACCUCGCAUACAUCCUUCUCAUGUAUCACUUUCGGCAUUCCCACAACCAUCUCCUUUUGUACCAUGUUAUUCAUAACACCAAAGCUCACAUGUCCCAGCCGAGCAUGCCAUCUCCAUGUAGUUUCAUCACCAUCGAGUUGUAAACACAUAGGAGAAUUACUAAUUUCCAUGGGUGUUUUAUAGAGACGAUUUGGUGAUCUUGUGAUUCUUACAAGCAGCCUUCCACACGGGUCUUUUAAUGUCAAGAAGUCUCCUCGCAUGAGAACUUCACACCCGGCUUCAGUUGCUUGUCCAAGACUCAAUAUGUUGUGUUUUAGGCUGGGAAUAUAGUAAAUUUCUUUGAGUGCUCUCACCUCCCCUGUCUUGCACACAAAGUUAAUUGUACCCUUCCCAACAAUGUCAACAUAAGAGCCAUCACCAAAUCUUACUUUCCCUUUAACUCUCUCAUCUAAACUACAAAAGUAGCUCUUGUUCCCCGACAUGUGGUUACUUGCUCCGUUAUCCAAAUACCAAACACUUGCAUCGCCUUUGUUGAUAUCAAAAUUCUUUGGAAUCACUUUGUCUUCGUUUAAGAACACCACCUCAUGAACGUAGAGAGCAUCGGCCUCAUGUGUCUCGUUUAAGUUGGCUUGUUGAUGUUGCGUUUGUUUGUUGGGACAAUUGUUUGCAUAAUGUCCCGGUUUAUCACAUCUCCAACAAAUUAUUUUGGAUAGAUCUUUCUUAGGUUUUGGAUUCUCCGUGGUUUCUUCUCCUUGGUUUUGGUUUUGGCCAUUAGAUCUCCCUCGACCACUGCCUCUACCGCCUCUUCCACCUCUUCCUCUACCUCUAGAUCCUCCGCGAGACCCACCAUGGCCUCCACGAUUGUUAGAUGUGUUUGUAAACAUCAGUUUACCUUGAUCGUCACUACUUCUGGUCGCCUUUGUAACUCGAUCUUCAUAAGCUUUGAUUCUUCCCACGAUAUCUUCAAAGCUUGUUGUGUUUAAGUCAAGAACUUGCUCAAGGGAAGCGACAAUGUGAAUGAACCUCUCCGGAAGUCCUGCUAAAAACUGUUUCACUAGCUUUACUUCAUCAAGGGUUUCUCCUAGUGAAGCGGAUUGAGCUGCAAGGCCUGACAUCUUCCCUGCAAACUCGUCUACCGAUUCAGCAUCUCCCAUGUGAAGUCGAUCGAGUUCUGCCUUGAGAGUCUGGAGCCUUGCGUCUUUCACACGGUCUGCUCCUUGGUGACGAGACUUAACAGCUUCCCACAUGUUCUUUGCCGAGUUUUGAUCUCCAAUAUGUAAGAUCAAAGUCUCAGGAAUUGAUUGAAACAAUAGAGCGGUUGCCACAUCGUUCUUCUUAACGUCCUCAGAACCGGGUUCUAUUGUUUCCCAUACUUCGCUGACUCGAAGUAACACCUUCAUCCUCAUUGCCCAAACCGUGUAGUUCGUUGCCGUUAACAUUGGACAAUGAAUUGAUGGUGAGCUAAGGUCCUUGGUGCGAGGUUGCGGAUUGUUGUCUCUCAUCUUGGUGACAAAGCUUUGUGAUCAAGUCUCCUUCUUGAUCAAAAGAGAACCUUGCUCUAAUACCAAAUCUAAGUUUAUAUGUGCUUGAGAAAUAUAAGAACAACCUUUCUUAUUGAUUUAGAAAACUACUCAAAAACUAAAUCUCUCUCAAGUCUUGUGAAACAUCUCUUCACAAGCUUAGUAUUUAUAGAACCAAGACAACACCUUAGUCCUAAUUAGAUUAGGAAAACAACACAAAGCCUUAUCUAAAUAACUUGCCCUUAUCUAGAUCAUGUUUGUGAAUCCCUUGACUUGCUCCCCAAGUCACUUGGAAUUAUCCAACAUGAACUUGGCAGUUCGAGCUCAUGAGUUUCUCCGAUGGGCUAUCAGUAGCACGAUACUCUUCGUGCCCAUACAAUAAAUACCUCAUCGAAUCCCAGAAGGAUCAGAAAAAACCAACAGGUGGUGGUUUCUCUCCACACCAACUUCUUUCCAUCAUCAAAACAAG